RNAcentral lists this ribosomal RNA (1454 nucleotides) under uncultured Bordetella sp. RNAcentral describes it as "partial 16S-23S ribosomal RNA intergenic spacer". It matches the Rfam family "Bacterial small subunit ribosomal RNA". The record is from RNAcentral. Lineage: Bacteria; Pseudomonadati; Pseudomonadota; Betaproteobacteria; Burkholderiales; Alcaligenaceae.
UUCGAUUAUGAGAAAAGAAACCAGAUUGAACGCUGGCGGGACGCUACACAUGCAAGUCAGGCGGCAGCACAGACUUCGGUCUGGUGGCGAGUGGCGAACGGGUGAGUAAUGUAUCGGAACGUGCUGGCUGGCAGGGGAUAACUGCGAAAGCGUAGCUAAUACCACAUAUACGCCCUUGAAAGCAGGGGACCUUCGGGCCUCUGCACUAUUGAAGCAGCCGAUAUCGGAUUGGCUAGUUGGUGGGAGUAACGGCUCACCAAGGCGACGAUCGUAGCUGGUUUGAAGAAGGACGACCAGCCACACUGGGACUGAGACACGGCCCAGACUCUACGGGAGGGCAGCAGUGAAAUUUUGGACAAUGGGGGAAACCCUGAUCCAGCCAUCCCGCGUGUCUGCGGUGAGGCCUUCGAAUUUGUAAGCACUUUCGAAAAGGAAAACGGCACGGGGAUAAUACCCCGUGCAACUGACGGUACCUGCAGAAUAAGCACCGGCUAACUACGUGCCAGCAGCCGCGGUAAUACGUAGGGUGCAGCGUUAAUCAAGUACUGGGCGUAAAGCGUGCGCAGGCGGUUCGGAAGAAGAUGUGAAAUCAAGGCUUAACUUUGAGACUGCAUUUUUAACUGCCGAGCUAGAGUGUGUCAGAGGGAGGUGGGUGUAGCAGUGAAAUGCGUAGAUAUGCGGAGAACACCGAUGAAGGCAGCCUCCUGGGAUAAUACUGACGCUCAUGCGAAAGCGUGGGAGCAAACAGGAUUAGAUACCCUGGUAGUCCACGCCCUAAACGAUGUCAACUAGCUGUUGGGGCCUUCGGAGCCUUGGUAGCGCAGCUAACGCGUGAAGUUGACCGCCUGGGAAUUACGGUCGCAAGAUUAAAACUCAAAGGAAUUGACGGGGACCCGCACAAGCGGUGGAUGAUGUGGAUUAAUUCGAUGCAACACGAAAAACCUUACCUACCCUUGACAUGUCUGGAAUCCCGAAGAGAUUUGGGAGUGCUCGCAAGAGAACCGGAACACAGGUGCUGCAUGGCUGUCGUCAACUCGUGUCGAAGGAUGUUGGGUUAAGUCCCGCAACAGGGCAAUAAUGUUAGUUGCUACGAAAGGGCACUCUAAUGAGACUGCCGGUGACAAACCGGAGGAAGGUGGGGAUGACGUCAAGUCCUCAUGGCCCUUAUGGGUAGGGCUUCACGUCGCCACAAUGGUCGGGACAGAGGGGGUCGCCAACCCGCGAGGAGCCAAUCCCAGAAACCCGAUCGUAGUCCGGAUCGCAGUCUGCAACUCGACUGCGUGAAGUCGGAAUCGCUAGUAAUCGCGGAUCAGCAUGUCGCGUUGAAUACCCGUUCCGGGUCUUACACACCGCCCGUCACACCAUGGGGAGUGGGUUUUACCAGAAGUAGUUAGCCUAACCGUAAGGAGGGCGAUUGCGGUAGGAUUCAUGACUGGGGUGAAGUCGUAACAAGG